CAUGACAGAAACACACAUGAAACAGAACCAAACAAAACACAAAACCAUGACAUUUCUGGAGUGAACGUGAUGAUGACGAGCAGAAGUAAGUGUCACCCCUGUUCAUCGUAAACAUCCAAAAGAAUUUAUUCUGUCUCCACCACCGAGCGCACACACAGCUCUGCUGAGCAUGGACGAUGUGAGGGGACUCCCCCCCCCCCCCCCAACUCAGGAUGUUGAGGAUACAAUAAGGACACAGUGGAUGCCCUGCAGGCCUUGGCAUGCCCUUCAUUGCUGUGCCACCAUAAAUCAACCAUCACUUCACCACAUACUUCACAUGGUAGUGAUACUGUUUACAAGUUUAUGAACAGAUAUAAAGUUUUGUUACAAGGCCUCAGUUCCAUGGAGUUUUAUGUUUGUUCCUUAGAAAUGCAGUGUGUUUAUUUACUGCUGUCAA
Myripristis murdjan (pinecone soldierfish) is the source of this 436-nucleotide long non-coding RNA. RefSeq lists it as uncharacterized. The transcript is spliced from 3 exons. Lineage: Eukaryota; Metazoa; Chordata; Actinopteri; Holocentriformes; Holocentridae. The record is from RefSeq and is a predicted model, not a curated record.